This 497-nucleotide ribosomal RNA is filed under the name uncultured bacterium. Its description in RNAcentral is "partial 16S ribosomal RNA". It matches the Rfam family "Bacterial small subunit ribosomal RNA", at positions 36 to 507 of the family's 1533-position model. The record is from RNAcentral.
UCUUCCCUCUGGCGGCGUGCCUAAUACAUGCAAGUCGAGCGAACAGACGAGGAGCUUGCUCCUCUGACGUUAGCGGCGGACGGGUGAGUAACACGUGGAUAACCUACCUAUAAGACUGGGAUAACUUCGGGAAACCGGAGCUAAUACCGGAUAAUAUAUUGAACCGCAUGGUUCAAUAGUGAAAGACGGUUUUGCUGUCACUUAUAGAUGGAUCCUCGCCGCAUUAGCUAGUUGGUAAGGUAACGGCUUACCAAGGCGACGAUGCGUAGCCGACCUGAGAGGGUGAUCGGCCACACUGGAACUGAGACACGGUCCAGACUCCUACGGGAGGCAGCAGUAGGGAAUCUUCCGCAAUGGGCGAAAGCCUGACGGAGCAACGCCGCGUGAGUGAUGAAGGUCUUCGGAUCGUAAAACUCUGUUAUUAGGGAAGAACAAAUGUGUAAGUAACUAUGCACGUCUUGACGGUACCUAAUCAGAAAGCCACGGCUAACUACGUG